RNAcentral lists this unclassified non-coding RNA (323 nucleotides) under soil metagenome. RNAcentral's name for it is "partial contains 5.8S ribosomal RNA, internal transcribed spacer 2, and large subunit ribosomal RNA". The stretch from base 1 to 120 matches the Rfam family "5.8S ribosomal RNA", at positions 35 to 154 of the family's 154-position model. The record is from RNAcentral.
GAUGAAGAACGUAGCGAAAUGCGAUAAGUUGUGUGAAUUGCAGAAUUCAGUGAAUCAUCGAAUCUUUGAACGCACAUUGCGCCCCUUGGUAUUCCAUGGGGCAUGCCUGUUCGAGCGUCAUUUGUACCUUCAAGCUUUGCUUGGUGUUGGGUGUUUGUCCUGAGGGACUCGCCUUAAAGUAAUUGGCAGCCAGUGUUUGGUUUUGAAGCGCAGCACAAGUCGCGAUUCAAAGCUAUACGCCCGCUUCCACAAGCCUUUUUCACUUUUGACCUCGGAUCAGGUAGGGAUACCCGCUGAACUUAAGCAUAUCAAUAAGCGGAGGA